RNAcentral lists this ribosomal RNA (499 nucleotides) under uncultured bacterium. RNAcentral's name for it is "partial 16S ribosomal RNA". It matches the Rfam family "Bacterial small subunit ribosomal RNA", at positions 28 to 507 of the family's 1533-position model. The record is from RNAcentral.
GACGAACGCUGGCGGCGUGCUUAACACAUGCAAGUCGAACGGGUCUGCCCUGUUUUUUGCGGGGUGGGUCAGUGGCGAACGGGUGAGUAACACGUGAGUAACCUGCCCCUCACUUCUGGAUAACCGCUUGAAAGGGUGGCUAAUACGGGGUGUUCUGGCUGUGCCGCAUGGUGUGGCUGGGAAAGAUUCACUUUUGUGGUGUUUUGGUGGGGGAUGGGCUCGCGGCCUAUCAGCUUGUUGGUGGGGUGAUGGCCUGCCAAGGCGUUGGCGGGUGGCCGGCUGGGAGGGGUGGGGGGCUCACUGGGGAUGAGGUGCCGGCCCGGAUCCCGUGGGGGGGAGGCGGGGGGGGUAUUGCACAAUGGGCGGAAGCCUGAUGCAGCGACGUCGCGUGAGGGAUGGAGGCCUUCGGGUUGUGAACCUCUUUCGCCGGUGAAGAAGGUCCUGCUCUUUGUGGGGGGGUUGACGGUAGCCGGGUUAUGAAGCGCCGGCUAACUACGUG